RNAcentral lists this ribosomal RNA (308 nucleotides) under uncultured bacterium. RNAcentral describes it as "bacterial SSU rRNA". It matches the Rfam family "Bacterial small subunit ribosomal RNA", at positions 30 to 334 of the family's 1533-position model. The record is from RNAcentral.
AUUGAACGCUGGCGGCAGGCCUAACACAUGCAAGUCGAGCGGAAACGAUCCUAGCUUGCUAGGAGGCGUCGAGCGGCGGACGGGUGAGUAACGCGUAGGAAUCUGCCCAGUAGAGGGGGAUAGCCCGGGGAAACCCGGAUUAAUACCGCAUACGCCCUACGGGGGAAAGGCCGGGAUCUUCGGACCGGUCACUAUUGGAGGAGCCUGCGUGAGAUUAGCUUGUUGGUGGGGUAAAGGCCUACCAAGGCGACGAUCUCUAGCUGGUCUGAGAGGAUGAUCAGCCACACCGGAACUGAGACACGGUCCGG